This 605-nucleotide ribosomal RNA is filed under the name uncultured bacterium. Its description in RNAcentral is "bacterial SSU rRNA". It matches the Rfam family "Bacterial small subunit ribosomal RNA", at positions 202 to 826 of the family's 1533-position model. The record is from RNAcentral.
GAAAGCUUUCGCGGUAUGGGAUGGGCCCGCGUCUGAUUAGGCAGUUGGCGGGGUAACGGCCCACCAAACCGACGAUCAGUAGCCGGCCUGAGAGGGCAACCGGCCACAUUGGGACUGAGACACGGCCCAAACUCCUACGGGAGGCAGCAGUGGGGAAUAUUGCACAAUGGGGGGAACCCUGAUGCAGCGACGCCGCGUGGGUGAAGGAGUAUUUCGGUAUGUAAAGCCCUAUCAGCAGGGAAGAACAAUGACGGUACCUGACUAAGAAGCACCGGCUAAAUACGUGCCAGCAGCCGCGGUAAUACGUAUGGUGCAAGCGUUAUCCGGAUUUACUGGGUGUAAAGGGAGCGCAGGCGGCGCGUUAAGCCUGGUGUGAAAGCCCGCGGCCCAACCGCGGGACUGCAUUGGGAACUGGCGCGCUGGAGUGCCGGAGGGGUAGGCGGAAUUCCUAGUGUAGCGGUGAAAUGCGUAGAUAUUAGGAGGAACACCAGUGGCGAAGGCGGCCUACUGGACGGUGACUGACGCUGAGGCUCGAAAGCGUGGGGAGCAAACAGGAUUAGAUACCCUGGUAGUCCACGCCGUAAACGGUGAAUACUAGGUGUCGG